RNAcentral lists this ribosomal RNA (253 nucleotides) under uncultured bacterium. Its description in RNAcentral is "partial 16S ribosomal RNA". It matches the Rfam family "Bacterial small subunit ribosomal RNA", at positions 524 to 776 of the family's 1533-position model. The record is from RNAcentral.
GACAGAGGAUGCAAGCGUUAUCCGGAUUCACUGGGUUUAAAGGGUGCGUAGGUGGGUUGGUAAGUCAGUGGUGAAAUCUCCGGGCUUAACUCGGAAACUGCCGUUGAUACUAUCAAUCUUGAAUAUCGCGUAGGUAAGCGGAAUAUGUCAUGUAGCGGUGAAAUGCUUAGAUAUGACAUAGAACACCAAUUGCGAAGGCAGCUUACUUCACGAUCAUUGACACUGAGGCACGAAAGCGUGGGGAGCAAACAGG